GUAGUCUCGCACAGAUGCAUAUCAAUAAGCGGAGGAAAAGAAACUAACAAGGAUUCCCUCAGUAACGGCGAGUGAAGCGGGAAGAGCUCAAAUUUGAAAUCUUGAAAGGUCACCUUUCACGAAUUGUAGUUUAAAGAAGUGUUUUCUGUUACGAUCGUAAUAUAAGUUCUUUGGAAUAGGACAUCACAGAGGGUGAGAAUCCCGUCUAUGAUUGCGAUUUGUAGCUUUGUGAUACACUUUCAAAGAGUCGGGUUGUUUGGGAAUGCAGCCCAAAACGGGAGGUAAAUUUCUUCUAAGGCUAAAUAUUGGCGAGAGACCGAUAGCGAACAAGUACCGUGAGGGAAAGAUGAAAAGAACUUUGAAAAGAGAGUUAAAUAGUACGUGAAAUUGUCAAAAGGGAAGCGUUUAACACCAGUGUUGUUUUCUGAAAAUCAACCUCUGUUAGCUUUAUGCAUGUUUGUUUAGACCUAAUCAGCUAUCUUGCAUGUUCUAUUGUUUGCAGUGGUGCACUUUUCAGUUUACAGGUCAACAUCAGUUUUUUUUACCGUAAAAAAGUUAAAGAAAGGUAGCUCAUGGCUCCGGUCGUGAGUGUUAUAGUCUUUUUCCUAUGCGGUAGGAGAGACUGAGGUCUGCAGUGUAGGCUAUUUGGCUAGAUACUCAGGUGCUAUGUGAUACCAUUUCAUAAACAACUUGUUGAUUAUGUUUUGUCUAUUGCAUACUCGCUUGUACUAUCAUACCUACGCUUAGGAUGUUGAAGAUGUAGCACAUCAU
RNAcentral lists this ribosomal RNA (771 nucleotides) under uncultured Neocallimastigales. Its description in RNAcentral is "partial large subunit ribosomal RNA". It matches the Rfam family "Eukaryotic large subunit ribosomal RNA", at positions 24 to 635 of the family's 3401-position model. Lineage: Eukaryota; Fungi; Neocallimastigomycota; Neocallimastigomycetes; Neocallimastigales. The record is from RNAcentral.